Raphanus sativus (radish) is the source of this 498-nucleotide long non-coding RNA. RefSeq lists it as uncharacterized. Lineage: Eukaryota; Viridiplantae; Streptophyta; Magnoliopsida; Brassicales; Brassicaceae. The transcript is spliced from 3 exons. The record is from RefSeq and is a predicted model, not a curated record.
CGACUUCCUGGCACUAGGACACCUUUGGAUGAUGAUCUAGGUCCCAUAUUUGAUGAGGAAGACGAUCUUGGUCCAGUCUUUGAUGAGGAAGCACCAAGCAUCAACAUGGACAGUCAUCUUUGCUUUGAUCCCGGCACAACUCCUCCCAUUUUAUCCACUGACAUUCAAGAGCACUGCUCGUCUUGAAUAUGUUCUAUGGUGUUUCAUGCCUUGAAAGCAUUCUGAUUUGCAACACCUUCUUUGAAAAACAUAUUGAGCCUUGGAAAAGCUGAAAUGUGUGCAACUUGUUCUUGGAAAAUAUAGCUUGAUUUCUGAUUUGCACAAGUACAUGUCUUGCACAUAUGAUCCUGGUAUUUUAAUGUUUGUUUUGAGUGUCCAGGAUAAACAGGUUCAGCCUCAGAGAAGAGAAAGCAUUGACCAUUCUUGUCAGCCUGAAAUUUGGAGAUGCAUUGAUACAUCCACUCAAACUGGCUACCUUGGAGAUGCCAGCGACACAGG